AGUGGAGACGGGAUNGUACGCGUGGGAAUUUGCCCAAUAGUACGGAAUAACUGCGGGAAACUGCAGCUAAUACCGUAUACAGCCCUCCGGGGGAAAGAUUGAUCGCUAUUGGAUAAGCCCGCGUCGAAUUAGCUUGUUGGUGANGUAAUGGCUCACCAAGGCGACGAUUCCGUAGCUGGUCUGAGAGGACGAUCAGCAUCACUGGGACUGAGACACGGCCCAGACUCCUACGGGAGGCAGCAGNGGGGAAUAUUGGACAAUGGGCGCAAGCCUGAUCCAGCCAUGCCGCGUGUGUGAA
RNAcentral lists this ribosomal RNA (298 nucleotides) under uncultured Alphaproteobacteria bacterium. Its description in RNAcentral is "partial 16S ribosomal RNA". It matches the Rfam family "Bacterial small subunit ribosomal RNA", at positions 94 to 409 of the family's 1533-position model. The record is from RNAcentral. Lineage: Bacteria; Pseudomonadati; Pseudomonadota; Alphaproteobacteria.